Molecule: ribosomal RNA, 496 nt
Filed under: uncultured bacterium
Lineage: Bacteria
Description: partial 16S ribosomal RNA
Rfam family: Bacterial small subunit ribosomal RNA
Source: RNAcentral
GAUGAACGCUGGCGGCGUGCCUAAUACAUGCAAGUCGAGCGAACGGACGAGAAGCUUGCUUCUCUGAUGUUAGCGGCGGACGGGUGAGUAACACGUGGAUAACCUACCUAUAAGACUGGGAUAACUUCGGGAAACCGGAGCUAAUACCGGAUAAUAUUUUGAACCGCAUGGUUCAAAAGUGAAAGACGGUCUUGCUGUCACUUAUAGAUGGAUCCGCGCUGCAUUAGCUAGUUGGUAAGGUAACGGCUUACCAAGGCAACGAUGCAUAGCCGACCUGAGAGGGGGUUCGGCCACCCUGAACCUGAGACCCGUUCCAGCCCCUAACGGGAGGCAGAGUUGGGAAUUCUUGAGAAUUGGGGGAAAGCCUGUCCAAGCAACGCGGGUGGGGUGAUGAGGGUCUUCGGUUCGUAAGACCCUGUUAUUGGGGAAGAACAUAUGUGUAUGUAACCGUGCUGAUCUGGCGGGAACCUAAUAAGAAGGCCCGGGUAACCUCCGU